UUUAUCUUGAGAGUUUGAUCCUGGCUCAGGACGAACGCUGGCGGCGUGCUUAACACAUGCAAGUCGAGCGGAGGCAGCACUUAACACUGAGUGCUUAGUGGUGAGAGCUUAAAGAAUAACACAAGAGCUGAGCAUUGAGUGUUAAGGGCUGCCUUAGCGGCGGACGGGUGAGUAACACGUGGGUAACCUGCCUCAUGGAGGGGGAUAACACUAAGAAAUUGGUGCUAAUACCGCAUAAAACCG
This 243-nucleotide ribosomal RNA is filed under the name Caloramator quimbayensis. Its description in RNAcentral is "16S rRNA. Bacterial SSU". It matches the Rfam family "Bacterial small subunit ribosomal RNA", at positions 1 to 181 of the family's 1533-position model. Lineage: Bacteria; Bacillati; Bacillota; Clostridia; Eubacteriales; Clostridiaceae. The record is from RNAcentral.